AAUCGAUAAAUUUAAAUAUUCAUCGAUUGAUCAA
Molecule: non-coding RNA, 34 nt
Filed under: Brugia malayi
Lineage: Eukaryota; Metazoa; Nematoda; Chromadorea; Rhabditida; Onchocercidae
Source: RNAcentral